UACGAAGUGGGCUAGCGUUGUUCGGAUUUACUGGGCGUAAAGCGCAUGGAGGCGGGCCGAUAACGUGGGGGUGAAAUCCCGGCGCUCAACUCCGGAACUGCCUCCAAAACUAUCGGCCUGGAGCAGAAGAGAGGCGAGUGGAAUUCCGAGUGUAGAGGUGAAAUUCGUAGAUAUUCGGAGGAACACCAGUGGCGAAGGCGACUCGCUGGCUUCUUGCUGACGAUGAGAUGCGAAAGCGUGGGGAGCAAACAGG
RNAcentral lists this ribosomal RNA (253 nucleotides) under uncultured bacterium. RNAcentral's name for it is "partial 16S ribosomal RNA". It matches the Rfam family "Bacterial small subunit ribosomal RNA", at positions 524 to 776 of the family's 1533-position model. The record is from RNAcentral.